Equus asinus (donkey) is the source of this 1969-nucleotide long non-coding RNA. Lineage: Eukaryota; Metazoa; Chordata; Mammalia; Perissodactyla; Equidae. The record is from Ensembl.
GCCAGCUGAGGGGAAGGAGUUGACAACUAUUCCCAGGCUUUCUCCUGCAAGCAUUAGAGCUGGAAGUUCAGAUUUGCUGCUGAGUUUUAUGGGCUGUCAAACGAGGCACAAGCCCAAGCUUCUGCCCAGAGUAAACCCGGGACCCAAGCUUGUUCUUUCAAAAACAAUAAACCUGUUUCUCCCAGCAGAGAAGCUCACUUGAAAUCACAAGGCCAGCCAAACUUGAAGAGCUCCCUAACCCCGCCCCCCCCGACCCCUGCACACAUGCUGGUCUCCUGUACCCCUGAUUGAGACUUUGGGACCUUCCUGUACCCUCAGGCCAAAGAGGAGUCAGGUGUCUCCCCGCCACCAGCAUACCUGCCACUGGCACUACCCAUCCACCAUUUCCUUCCUGAAAGCUCAAAGUCAUCUGGUGGUGGACACAAAGCUUUAACUUCCUCGCCUCACAUCAUGUUAGUAAUCCAGCCGCCUGCUCUCCAACAGAACUCAGCUUCCAUCUGCCGGCCUGCUCUUAGCCCGGUCCUCACCCCUACACCCCUGCACUACUCUGCCAUGUUUAUUUCUCUGCUCUGGUUCCUACUGUCCCCUCGCCAGGAAAACUCUCCUAUUUCUCCUCAUCACCAUAAACUGAACUUCCUUUGAGGCCCAGUUAAAAUUGACCAUUUGCACAAGACUUCAUCUUACGGCCCCAAGACACACCAGUCAUUCCUGCCAAAGAACAUUCCCUCACAGGAGGGGCCAGGUAGGGAUGAGAGGCGAGGCAGAAGCCCUGAGAUGCUUGAGCCACAGAGAGUUCUGGUGUAAGACCAGGUCUCCAAGUGCAAGGUGGGCCUAGAAACCAGGCCACGCUCAAACACCCUGACCGAGAGCCAAGCUGCCGGUGCUGUGGAAGGGUGAGCCCACAGCAGGGCCCCGUGCAGGCCGGUAGCACGUCUGAAAGCCGCGAUGGUCGUGGAGAGCGGCACUCAGGGAGAGAGUGGAACACUGUGUGCAAGGAGAUGUGUACCAGGAUAUACAUUAUAAAUCACGUUGUAGCAUUAUUUCGAAAAGGAAAAAUUGGGCCAUAAUCUUAAUGCCCAGCAAAAAGAGAACAGAUAAAUCAAUAGUAGUGUAGUCAGUCUUGUCUCAACACAGAUAAACCUCAGAAACAGAACAGUGAAUGAAGAACAAGCAGAGGAUACAGUAUGAUGCCACCUAUAAUAAAGCUUGAAAGCUUGCAAAACCAUAUCAUAUAUUGUAUGUGGAAACCUACAUGUAUACUAACAGGCCUGGGGAAACACGCAUGGGAAAGAUCAAUACCAAUUUCAAGAGAGUGGGGAGGGAAAUGGCACAGGGGAGGGUUGACAAGGUUUUAGUCUUUUAAAAAAUUAGCUGAAGCAAAGAUGGGGAAAUAGGGCAUUUGUGUGUUUGGACAACAUUCUCCAGACUCUUCUGUAUGCUUGGAAUAUUUUAUCAUUUUUUAAAGGAAGACGGGACUGCUCCAGGAGCAACCUCAUGCUUCUGCUGGUUUAGACUCGGGGGCUCAGUCAGCCACGGGCAAGGACGUCAAGGGUAUGACAAGAAAUGCACAUCACUCCUCUCGGAGCUCUAGUAGCUUUUCAAAUAUGUGCUUCAUCCCAUAUGCCCAUGUCCUUUUCUCGAGUUUUCCCAUACAGAUGGCGGGUCCCCUGAAGUCCCAGACUGCCUGCCCUUGAAGCCCCACAGCCCCUAGCAGUGAGCUGGGCGUGGAACUGGACCUCAAUAAAUGUUUUUUGAUCUGAUUUCUUACAUCAUUUUUGCCAUGAAUGAGACUCUUUCCAGCCUCCUUGUGUAUGUUCCAAUUUGGCAUGAAGCACCCUGUCCAUGUGGCUCUUCCUCCAGGGCUGCUGGGCCCACCCAGGACCUCACACACAGCCUCUCAGACUUGCCCGUGACCGCUUCCCACAAGGUCUCAGAAGCUGUGGUCUGCAGUCUAGAAAAUAUUGAGGAG